Molecule: ribosomal RNA, 424 nt
Filed under: uncultured bacterium
Lineage: Bacteria
Description: bacterial SSU rRNA
Rfam family: Bacterial small subunit ribosomal RNA
Source: RNAcentral
UGGGGAAUUUUUCGCAAUGGGGGAAACCCUGACGAAGCAACGCCGCGUGGAGGAUGAAGGCCUUCGGGUCGUAAACUCCUGUCGACCGGGAAGAAUGCACCUGACCUAAUACGUCGGUGUGCUGACUGUACCGGUGGAGGAAGCCACGGCUAACUCUGUGCCAGCAGCCGCGGUAAUACAGAGGUGGCGAGCGUUGUUCGGAAUUACUGGGCGUAAAGGGCGCGUAGGCGGUUUGUCAAGUCCCGUGUGAAAGCCCCCGGCUCAACCGGGGAACGGCGCGGGAAACUAGCAGGCUUGAGUUCGGGAGAGGGAAGCGGAAUUCCGGGUGUAGCGGUGAAAUGCGCAGAUAUCCGGAGGAACACCGGUGGCGAAGGCGGCUUCCUGGACCGGUUCUGACGCUGAGGCGCGAAAGCGUGGGGAGCAA